UGGAGCUGAAGUCAGUCGAAGAUACCAGCUGGCUGCAACUGUUUAUUAAAAACACAGCACUGUGCAAACACGAAAGUGGACGUAUACGGUGUGACGCCUGCCCGGUGCCGGAAGGUUAAUUGAUGGGGUCAGCGCAAGCGAAGCUCCUGAUCGAAGCCCCGGUAAACGGCGGCCGUAACUAUAACGGUCCUAAGGUAGCGAAAUUCCUUGUCGGGUAAGUUCCGACCUGCACGAAUGGCGUAAUGAUGGCCAGGCUGUCUCCACCCGAGACUCAGUGAAAUUGAACUCGCUGUGAAGAUGCAGUGUACCCGCGGCAAGACGGAAAGACCCCGUGAACCUUUACUAUAGCUUGACACUGAACAUUGAGCCUUGAUGUGUAGGAUAGGUGGGAGGCUUUGAAGUGUGGACGCCAGUCUGCAUGGAGCCGACCUUGAAAUACCACCCUUUAAUGUUUGAUGUUCUAACGUGGACCCGUGAUCCGGGUUGCGGACAGUGUCUGGUGGGUAGUUUGACUGGGGCGGUCUCCUCCUAAAGAGUAACGGAGGAGCACGAAGGUUGGCUAAUCCUGGUCGGACAUCAGGAGGUUAGUGCAAUGGCAUAAGCCAGCUUGACUGCGAGCGUGACGGCGCGAGCAGGUGCGAAAGCAGGUCAUAGUGAUCCGGUGGUUCUGAAUGGAAGGGCCAUCGCUCAACGGAUAAAAGGUACUCCGGGGAUAACAGGCUGAUACCGCCCAAGAGUUCAUAUCGACGGCGGUGUUUGGCACCUCGAUGUCGGCUCAUCACAUCCUGGGGCUGAAGUAGGUCCCAAGGGUAUGGCUGUUCGCCAUUUAAAGUGGUACGCGAGCUGGGUUUAGAACGUCGUGAGACAGUUCGGUCCCUAUCUGCCGUGGGCGCUGGAGAACUGAGGGGGGCUGCUCCUAGUACGAGAGGACCGGAGUGGACGCAUCACUGGUGUUCGGGUUGUCAUGCCAAUGGCACUGCCCGGUAGCUAAAUGCGGAAGAGAUAAGUGCUGAAAGCAUCUAAGCACGAAACUUGCCCCGAGAUGAGUUCUCCCUGAGACUUUAGGUCUCCUGAAGGAACGUUGAAGACGACGACGUUGAUAGGCCGGGUGUGUAAGCGCAGCGAUGCGUUGAGCUAACCGGUACUAAUGAACCGUGAGGCUUAACCUUACAA
This 1173-nucleotide ribosomal RNA is filed under the name Salmonella enterica. RNAcentral describes it as "partial 23S ribosomal RNA". It matches the Rfam family "Bacterial large subunit ribosomal RNA", at positions 1762 to 2925 of the family's 2925-position model. RNAcentral also lists the same sequence under 1 other name. Lineage: Bacteria; Pseudomonadati; Pseudomonadota; Gammaproteobacteria; Enterobacterales; Enterobacteriaceae. The record is from RNAcentral.